GGCGCAUUACUCACGUGUGAUCCACACAGCAGCAGCAGACGCUUUCCUUACCGCCGCUUUCGUUUCCUUCCCCAUUGCCGCAAGGGUGCACGCGUAAGCGUGAACGACUUCGCGAACGGAUUUGCAGCAGUAUAUUUGUUUUGCUGUUUUUUUUUUCAUGCUGUACGGCAACCACUUACUCAUCCCCCACCUCACCAUCGCUACCACACAGAUACGCACACAUUUCCACCUGCGUUCUCACAGUUUUUUUUUUCUCUUGAACACUGAAAAGAGCGUGGGCUCAGUGAGCUCGAAAAAGAAACGCAAGGACGGGAGGCGCGGUGCAUCUCUUGAAUGCCCAUCUCCUCUGAUGUGGAUGUGGUGGCAGCAGUGCCGGUGCUGAAGCCGCUUCUUGCACUCGCCGGCUCAUCUCCUGUUUCGUGGAAGCAUCUUUCUACCCACGACGGGUACAGUGUCUCAGAGCUCCCUCCGAUCCCUGCCCUGGGACUGCCUAGGAAGUGCUACCGCACGCAGUUUGUGGUGAACGGGGACCUCGACUCGUUUCAGCGCGUGCUCAGCGAUGAAGCUUCGAUUCGCGAAUUUGACCCUGCUCUGAAGGAGAUGCGCAUCUUGGAGCGGCGCGCGUCCAAGACGCUGCUGUACACGUCGUACGUGUCGCCAUCUCCGUGGCUCGUCACCCCGCGCGACUUUUGCGUGUGGUCCGCAACGAUCUUCACAACACUGGAGCAGCUGAAGCGCGUGUGCUCAGAGGCAAAGGAAGGCAGUGCUCAGACAUCCAACAGCUCUCUGGCCGUGAGGAAAUUCUUUUGCACAUGUCAACAAUCGGGAGAGGCUCCCGAUCCUGGUCAGACGGUGUACCUGCAGAACAGCGUGACGGCGCGGGUGUCGGACUCGGCGGCAGUUCCGACACCACAAUGCGGAAAGCUGUUUGUGCGCGGAGUCGUCUACUGCUUCGGCUACGUGGCGUUUGCGGACCCUUCCAUUCAGGGCAAGUUGCGUGUCACCCACUACUGCUGCGUUGACCCGGCUGGCCAGAUACCCACGUGGCUGGUGGUCGCCGCGGUGGAGGAGAAUACAAAGAAACUGAGGAAGAUGGCAGAGCUCGUCGAGGCUGCCGCCGCGGCUGCGGCGCCGGCAGCUGAGCCUACCUCGGCUUGCCUCAAUGCGCCGUCAGCUGAUCCGCUGCCGGCAACAGAGCCGCAAGAGCCAGCGUUUACAUUGGCGGGUAGUGCGGAGAAACCAUCCGAGGAGGUCAAGGGCGAAGGAGUCUCAACUCCACUUUUCACAAAAGCUCCUUGUGAUGAAGCUCCAUCGCUUGCGGUCCCAACCGUGGAGGGCGCUUCCGACCGCGGUGCGUACCCGUCACCCGAUGCGGAAGGUAAGGCGGCACUUUCUAUGCCUUCUGAAUCCACGGACGUCUCCCCUUCACCGCAGCCGAUGCCAAAGGAACAACGCAGCUUCCCACCGCCGCCAGCGACGUGUAGAAACACUGCCACGCAUGAUCCCUCUCUCACUUCCAUGCCACCACAGCCACCCGGCACGGCAGCAAGUGUGGAUCCGAGGGUGGAGAUCCUCAGCCUGCUUGCGCGCUCCAAUGGCUGGUGCACGCGGCGCGAGGUUGAAGAGAUACAGUACGCGGAACUGCGCGUCUUGCCGGAGCCGCUGCGCUCGAAGGGCUCGCUGUGCAUCGCGAUGCGCGUCAGCGCAGUGGUCCGCUGCACCCUCGACACGCUCGUAGCAGUACUGCGCGAUCCGGCACUUUUUCCGGAGAUCGACCCGGAGCUCGUGCGAGUGGCUGCCGCCUCAACGUCGUCUGGUGCGUCUAGCCGGACAGCGAGUCGCGAACCGAGCACACCUGGCCACGGUACCGCGUCAACUGCGGGCGAGCUGCGCCACUAUCAGUUCGAUGCCAAUGAAUCCUUUCGAUGCCCAUGGGAAAUGAUCCUGCACUGCACCGACUUCGAGUGGACGCAAAUCGACGGGGGACGGCACGGCUUUCACACGCCUGGCGUCCCCGCGGCGACGCACGUGUGGGUGAGUGCAGACAGCACGACUUUCUGCUAUCGUGGCGUACGCCCGGACGGAUACCAUCAGCUUAUGCAGGUGCGCGUGUUUGGCGUCACGGCCGUUGCCGUGCCCCGCAGCGCCGAAAGCGUCCGCGUGUCGCAGUAUAUGCUCUUCGAUGCCUGCGCACCGCUUUCGCCCAUCUCUCACAGCUCUUGGCACAUCUCCUUUCAGAAGAAGUGCCCGACGGAGGAGUUCGUGUCGGGCGUCUCGAGGUGGAUGGAGGGCCGCAUGAACCGUCUUCGGCGCCUAAGCGAGGAGCGGCAUCGUCGGCGCAGCAGCAGCGCCAUGGUGGCGCUCGACAAGGUGCCGCUCUUACGCUUUCUUUACGCGGUACACUGUGCUGAAGGCGGUCGCGCGCUCGAGAGCCCUGAAGCGGCGUGGUAUGGCGACGUCCUCGCUCGGGCUAUCCGAUGGACUGGCGAAGGCGGCUGCUCAUCACUCAGGACGGAAGCGGGUAGUGGCGACCCGCCUAUGGUGGUCCUCUCAACGUUGUUUCCGUGUUCUCUGGCGCAGCUACGCGACUACAUGCUAUUCAGCCCGCCUCGCCAUCGCUACGCUCUUGAGAGUGGGGUCCACAAGUACGAAGAGUUGGCCGCUCCACCUGACUUCACGAUAGUGCGCGUCGAGUACGGCGCCGCGAGCGCUUCCUUCCCUCGGGUGCGGCUGACGGUUCUGGAGGCGUUUGGCGAGCUCCACGGGGUGAAUGUUCCGUGCCCGACAUUAGUGCUGAGCCGCGCUGGGGUUGACGGAGAUGUGGGCGACGAAUGCGACGAGCUGGACUUCACUGAAAGUUCUGGCCACCUUCGCGUUAGCGCCGACACGCGGUUCGAGGACGGCCGCGUCUUCUGCUCCGGGUGGGUGGCCACGACGCUCGAAGGCAGUGGCAGCCAAUCGUGCGCGAAUGGCCCUUGGGCGGCGCUGAGGAGCCCUCACAGCGGCCCCGCGCCCGUCUCUCCAGAGCUGUGCACCGAGCAGUCGACUUCGGAUGGCAAGGCUGAGGAGGCUGCCCUGCACCAGCUGGAACGGAUUGUGGUGACACAGUACCUGAGCAUCGGUUUUCCAUCAGCGCACCAAGGCGAUCUCGACGCGGAUGGGCUACCAUGUGGGUGCAUAGCAGAGCAAGCGGCACAGCUGCAGCGCUUUCGCGAUUCGGUGUGCACAUGGGGUUCCUCUAUCGCAGCCAGGAGAUCGGAGUAAUCGCUCGAAAGAUUUUUUUUUUGCGUGUGCUUGUUUUGGCUUUCGGGGAGGCGGACGCCGAAGUGGUCCGUUGCGUCUGUUCUAUGUCAGCUGAGCUUUUUGUUUUCAAAGGAAGUCAGUGCUUUGCUCUUCUUCUCUUGUUGUCGGCUGUUCGCUUCGAACCGACGCGCACAUCACCGGUGGCAUUGAUGCACCGCGGCGAACUCGCCUCUGUGGACCGCAGUGUUCUCCUCUCGCCAUCCAUAUUUCGCUCACCUUUUCCUUAAUGUGCUUGCUUUCCCUGCUCGCUUUUUAUUGCGCCCUCUACACGCGUUUCUGUCUGCGUGUGUGUGUGUGUGUGUGUGCCAAACUCUUCGUCGAGCUCGUUUUAC
RNAcentral lists this unclassified non-coding RNA (3635 nucleotides) under Leishmania donovani. RNAcentral describes it as "gene:LdHU3.36.6950(CDS-product:hypothetical_prote in_conserved)". The record is from RNAcentral. Lineage: Eukaryota; Euglenozoa; Kinetoplastea; Trypanosomatida; Trypanosomatidae.